GGGCACGGCGAGCGGGGAGCUCCGAGGAGGGGCGCGGGGCCGGCUCGCGGCUGUCAGGGCGGCUGGGAGCUCGGUGCCCUGUGCCGUUGCCGAGCCCGGCGGUGCGCGGCCCUCCCGCUGCGGCGCGCCCUCCCCGCUGAGCCUCGACGGUGGCCGGGGUGCGCGGCUGGCGGGGAGCGGACCGUGCGUGUGCGCAGGCCCAGUAGCUUCUUCAUGCAAAGAGAGAUCUCCAGUCCCGUGAGCAAGUUCUGUUUAACCACUGCAUCCUCAACAAAAUGGGCAGUCACCAUCAAGUCAUGUCGUUAAUGAAAGCUUGUGAGGCUGUGGCACUUGAGGGACGGUGAACACAUCCUGAAUAGGUGUACAGGGUCUCCUGCGUAGCAACUCGUUACCCUUGAAGAGUUGUUGCAGAACGCAUGAGGAGUUGAGAGAAGUCUCUGAGAGGCUGGAAGACAGCAUGGACAUGCAAGUUGGGAUGAAAACCACAUCCUGAACUCCCAAAAAAAGAAAGUUGAGAAAGCUACAAGGAAGCUCCUUUCAUCUGUAGAUCCUUUGAGGAGAUUUGUACUGUGUGUACUCACACAGUGCAUGUUGAACAGACAACUAAGAUGCCAGCUCUAAAAAUGUUCCUUCCUAUUCUGUAUCAUUAAGCUAUUGCUAAAUAAUCUAGUAAUUCUCCUGAAAUAUGGCAUGCAGUACAGGAAAGCAAGCUCUCAAAGUCCCUUGUUAUCAUUUCACCAAAGCUCAGAAAAGAGCCCCCAAGGAAGCAGGAUGCCUGAGCUCUGACCCUGCUGGAGCAGAGUGGAGAGACUGAGCAGUGGUUGAGUCACCCCAUUUGAAAACAAAUCUAUAUCUAAUUAGUGAAUCCUUGCAAUAGCCCUGGGAGGUAUAUAAAUAUUGCUGCUCUGUUUUACAGGAAACUGAGAUGGAAGGGGAUGAAUUCUUCUGUGUUAUAAAAAAUGCCAUUAACCAGUUAAAUGAAGGCAAAUUAGCUACUGAUGUGCUUUGAUUGUGCCUUAUAAAGCACAACUUACACCCCACCUGAUUACAAUUUCAGCUUACAUGCUCAUAUUACAGAGUAUUUUUUGUAUUUACUUUUUUUAACCAGUAUUUACCUUUUUUUUGAUCCAGUUCUUUACAUUUUGUUAACUUUCACAGCCUACUAACAGUGGGAGUGUUCUCCGAUCAAAGGAAAAUCACUGACUUGCUGGUAACUAGGUAUCCAUUCACUCCUAAUUCCAGGGAAGUAUGUAAUGCAAGAUGAAAUAAAUAGCAUCUCAACAUAGCACAGCAGAACAAGCAAGGUGCAAAUCUAGGUACACUGGUAAUGUUUAUGAGUGGAGGAUGGAGGGAGUUUUCCUUGUCUCCUUGUGGAGCUGAAAAUAAAAACAAUAUCAAUACAAUAAGUAACGUGGAGGAAAAUUUUUGUGCUCUGAAUAAUAUUGGACUCAUCGGUCUCUUCUUGGUUGAUUGUGAAUUUGGCUGAUCAACUUACUGAGUGAUCAUUUGAGCAUUUUAAAAUAUAUUUCUUUUAGCAAGCAAAAUAAUAUUAUCUGUUGGUGAUUCUGUAAUCAGAUUUGAUAAGAACCACAACACUUUGCUGUUAAGAUGACAGUGCUGCAUAUAUAAUCAUACGAGAAUACCAUGUGUUUCUUGCCACUGCUCAGUCCAGAACACCAUAUUUUCUUGCACUCUCUGCCUUCAUUAUUUAGUAAAAAGAAUUUUUUUCCUUUGAGUGGAUUUCACUUGAAUAUAACCAGAAGACUCACAACUGAUUUUGAACAUCUUGAAGGAACGUAUUAGGCAAAUAAAGUGCACUUUGGGGUUUCCAUAUUGCUGAGUUGAAAGGAAGACAUUUUCAAAUUGGUACAUGCUUGGGAAUGCUAAUGAGCAGUCUUGGAUAUAUGUCUAAAGAGAGAAGUUAGAAUGCUAGUGGGUAGUCAUCUUCUGCAGGCUGUCUGCCUAACACUAGAUAAAAAAAAUAUUUUGAUUGAAAAAGCUUCUUCCUCUGUACAGGGUUUUUCUCUUCCUUUUCCUUUUUAUUUUUAUUUUUUUAAUUUUCCUUUAGUUAAAAAACAAACAAACAAACAAAAAUUUUAAUCUUCCUUGCCCCUUUUUUUUUUCCUUUGAACUAGUAAUUGGGAAAUAACCCCACAUAUUUUUAAAUAUUCGUAUAUAUAUCUGAUACCAUUGACGUUUCCUCCCAUGCAUAUGGUCCAGUCUGUCUUAUUACUUUUUCUAUCUUUAAGAUAAAGACCUUUAAGACCUGAUGACAGCUCAUCACCACUAGUAAAUCCCUGAGCUUUACUAGUGUUAUGCUGGAGGUUCUUCCAGGCCUGAAGUACUCUAUAUAUUUGCCUCCCUCAAAAUGAUGCUAUCAACCUGUAAGACAAAGAACAUCCUAAGAUGCCAAUUGGAAAAGCCUAAAUGUUUACUGGCAAUAUGUCUCUUUUAGAACCUUUAUAGGUGAAUUAUAUGCAGAUAUAUAGAUAGAGGUUUUAUUGAUGCAUCUAUAUAAUCAAUGUUAUGAAAAGAUAGGGUCCAAAUAUCAGACUGUAAGAGAAAAAAAAAAUGAAGAUGUCAGCAUGGAAAAAAUGAUAGGAAGAUUUAAAAAUAUUUAUAAAACAGGAAAGAGAGGAUUAAUUAAGAGCAUGGAGAUUUUCCAUUAUCUUUAUUAAAGGAGUUUAUAUUGAUCCAACAUUGGGAAAAAUAUAAAUGGACAAAAAAAAAAACCAAAAAAAAACUGCUGAGUGAACAAUGAAAUUAUAGUUUCUUAGUUCUGGACCAUCAAAAAGAAAAACCGGUAUCAUCCAAGGUUAAAAGUGACGUAAAACUCCUAAGUGGCCAUAACUGUCCAAACAGGAAGGAAUGAUGGAGUAGUUCAAUUACACCGAACAUAAAUUAAAUACAUUUGUCAACGAAUUCUAAUGGCAAGAUACAGUGACUUUUAUGCAAGUGAAGUCUCCAGAAGUAACUUUUCAUAUAGAUUGACUAGAAGUUUGAGCAGUAUUCAUUAUGUGGAGGAAUCUUUCAGAAGGCAGUAUCACCUUGUAGUUUUCCUACAAUAGGCAUCGUAAUGAGAACCAUCCAUUCUUUUAAAUAGAGCACCCAUACUUUGCUUUCAACAAAAUGGUUAUCUCAUUAUUUUACACGAAUUGUUUCCAAACUUUAUUUCUUUGUAUAAAAAAAUAUAUAUCUGUUAUAUAUUAUGUAGUUGAAUAUGAUUUUACCAUUAGAGAUCUAUACAUCUGGUAUUGCCUUCCUGAAAUCUGUUUUAGUCAUAAUAUAAAUGGUCAUGUUAAACAGUCUUUUGAAAAUGAUCAUGGUAAUGCAUCUAACUUUAUUGAAGUUGUCUUAUGAAGUUAAAAUUAUUUGCUAGUCUCUUUUCAGCCCAGAAAACAAGUUUCUUCUGUAAUCAUUCCAUUACUUUUUAAAAGAGAUCUGACAAGCAUAAACAUUCUCCUUAUCAAACUCCUGAUUGAGAACUGAACUUCUGCACUGCCAGAUAGCCGCUUAUCUUCAACCAACAUAGCAUUCUAAAAAUGUAGCUGGUUGCAGUUAUUAAAAAUUACAUCUGCUGAAGUCUCAGCCCACAGAAUACACCAUAUUUUAUUACAAGACUAUGUCUUCUAGAAAGAUACUUCCUAGUUUAGGAACUGCUGUAUCACUGUUCAACUGUGAGAGUGUACAGGGUAUUGCAUACACCCACAUACAUAUCCAGGACCUCUUACCUAACUACAUUGUUUUUGUAACAUGAUUCUUCUGGUGACUGAAGAAAAGAGACAAUGAGAAUAAAGAAUGCAAAGGUAGAAAGUGUUGCUCUUGAAUUACAAACUAUCAUAGGAUUUCACAGGAAUAAUCUUUUAAAAUCGAGUUAUUGUAGCCUUAGUGCUCCAGUAGUGUUAAUGUGGUUUUAAAGUGUCAAAUACUCAAUUUAAAGGCAUCAAAUAUAAUGUAUUUGCAUCACUAAUUCAUGAUAACUACAGCUAAAACGGGAGACUUUAAGUUCUAAGUCAUAAGCAUCAGGAAUUACAUUUAGGAACAGUAGAAAGUUCAGAUUUCACCCCCUUCAAAGGUCAAAAAGAAAUAAAUAAAAUAAGACACAGCCCUGAACUUUUAUUAAAGCCAGAUCUUGCCUUUUUAUGGUAUUUUUACCUGAGAUCUGUACAAACAUUAAUAACACUAAGUUCUGUAAGCCUUUCAGUCUCCAUUUAACAGAUAGAAGAAGAGGAAUAGAAAAAGUUACUGUCUAAACUCCCAGUGGUACUACUUAGAUGCUACUAAGACAGCACUGCUUUGUUUGAAGUAUUACAGAAUAGCCCAAAUUCCCAAUAAAUUUAACAGAAAAGAUUAAUAAGCCAUUACUAAUGGAGGCAGAUCUGAAGUUACUGAAGAUGCACCCUUAGAAAUUAACCGUCAUGUGCAGUCCCUCACUGGCAAUAGGAGUGGGACUAGAAAGUUCUAUUUGAAUUUUUGUCUUAGAAUUCACACUGAGGAAUGAUUCAGCAUGUAACAAACAUUGGAACAGAUAGCGUACUCUCUGUAUAUACAAAGUAAAGAUUGAUUUGCAGUUUGGAUUUAGUUUGCUUAGUGCAAAAAUCAACUUAACCCAGAUUAUUCUGAAUAGUCAGCCUCUUUAAAGCCAAGCCAAAUUAGACUAACCUAGACAGCAGGUUAAGUCCAACAGCUUGUAUUGGCACUUUGUAAAAUGUCAGCGCAUUAAUUCCGCUCCUUAACUUAUAUACAGAGCUCUCUUAAAAACAUAUUUUUAUCUAGAUCAAUAAUGUACCUGAUAGAAAAAAACAACGACAAAAAACAAAACAAAACAAAACAAAAAAACCCACAUAUGUCUGUACCUUGCAACAGAAUACGCUGUAGGUACACUUCAGUUGUGUCAGAGCACAUAUAUACAUGUGAGUACAAAUGUAAGAAACACCAACUGCAUCAGAUGGAUGGCCUAUCUAGCCUAGUAUUCUGUCUGGCACAGGUAAAAUUACUUAGGAAGAAUAUGCAAACCCUACCAUUUCCACUGGUGGUCUCCCAGAACUCAAAAUAAUUCAGCGGGUGAUGCUAGAAGGUAUAUGUGUGAGUAUCCUGCUUUAGUUUCUGUUUAUGGAUAUUUGGCCAUGAAUUUACCAAAUUCUUUCAUGAACUUUAUGAGGGAACUGGGAUUGUUUGGACUGGAGAAGAGGAGGCUCAAGGAAGACCUUAUUGCUCUUUACAACUGCUUGAAAGGAGGUUGUGAUGAGGUGGGGUUGGCCUCUUCUCCCACAUAAGUAGCAAUACAACUAAAGAGAACAACCUCAAGUUGCACCGGGGAAGAUUCAGAUUGGAUAUUAAGAAAAAUGUCAUCUAAAGAGUGGUCAGGUGCUGGAAUGGGCUGCCCAGGGAGGUAGUGGAGUCAUCAUCCCUGGAGGUGUUCAAGAAAUGUUUAGACGUUGAACAAAGAGUCAUGGUUUAGUGGGGAAAUGGUGAUGGUAGGUGAACAGUUGAGUUAAAUAAUCUCAGAGGCCUUCUUCAACCUUGGACAUAAAUUACCCGAAAAGGUAAUUUCUUUUAUUUACCAGAUCCCAGUGUAAUGCAGAUAAUUUAUCAGAUCCCAGUUUAAUGCAGAUAAUUCCCUCAGUAUUUCCAUAGCCUCCCUCAACAUUCUCAUGAGUUUCAAAUAAGAGAUCAGGAGCACCUUAAGAAUGGUAGAUAGGCCAAAGUGCUAGUGGUGUAUAUUUUAUUGAAGCAUUGGCUUUAAUGUCAGUUUACCAGUUCAUUUUUCCCAAAGCUGUUUUUCACUAGAGUAUAAUAAUUUUGAUCUCUUCAUACUGUCACGGCUUCUUGGUGAAUCUUGAAAAUAUCACAAGGCUAAAUGAGAUCUUAGUUUACCUUUAAAUAGAUUCAAGCAUCUCUAAGACAAAUGUUGUUUAAAUGUGGAGCAGAAAAGGUCUCUGGAAAAAAUAUUUGGAUCUCUGCUGAAGCCACAGCAAGGUUUUCCAUUUCUCCAUUAAUUCAGUAUUCAAGUGCCAGAUUGAAAAUGACUCUUGCUUUCCCUCACAAGGACUACUUUAAAAUGAAAAUGACACUAAAGUACAAGGCAGUAAUUUAUCUCAGGGUGUCUGCUACAUUUUAAUCCUAUUUAUGUCUCUCUUUUCUCCUAUUUACACCAUUCUUCAGUGGCUUUCAUAUGUUUCCCUAAGGUUGUUCACAUCAUGAAAUUUCUGUGGUCUACAUGCAGGGCAAAAGUAUUCAAAGGUAGAUGAAUGUGGAAACCAGAAGUGUUGUCUAUCUUACCUGACAUGCCUCAUGACUAUAGCAUUUAUAGAAGUUCAGCUAUAUCAACCAUACUUGGGAGUAAUAUCAUAGAAUUAGUACAGUGUAGCUCUUUCACAAUCUUGAGAAGUAGUGGACUGUUCCUCAGCUCACAGCAGCACCUGUUGUAAAUAAAAUAGGAUCCUACUGAAGUACUGAAAUUUUAACAAUGUCUUAAUCUGUAGAGAAGAAUGCCCCUUUCCAGCACAAAGAGUAUAGAAACCCAAAUGUAAGUGGAGGAGAGAGCCUGUGGAAUAUGAUGUUGCAAGUUUUCCUCUUGAAACCCUCAGGAACUGUCUACCAUUCAGGCAAGCGUGUAAAUCCUUUCAUCUACAUAGCUUCAGUAGCCUCACUACCAUCUUAGUCUUCAAAACAGAAGUGAACAAAACAGGUCUUCAAAACAGAUCCACCUAUACACGUAUGAACAACACAAAUGAGCCAAAUCCUGUUGGAAGUUGUAGAUUUUCAGGACUUGACAUGAUGGUGCAAAACUUGUUAAUUCCUUACAUUUUUUUUCUCAUGAAUGACAUGAAAAUUUCUCUUACAUACUGCAGUUCUAAAAGAGUGCAAUACUUCUGAGAAGAGAAAGAACAGUUCUUCAGAUUUCUAGCUACUAGAAAAAUUGGAGAGGAAAGAUGCCAUUUUCUAUGAGAAAAGAAGGAUCAAAUCAUCAUUUCCACCAUUCCACAGGGGAAAUGGAAAAGUACAACAUCAGUGAAGCAUUCAUUCUGUACUGAACCACAAUUUGUUUUGCCAAACACUGUGCAGAACUUGAAACUCAAAAGCUGGAAAAACCAGUGCCCAGCACAUGCCUCCCUCCAAAUCUUAUAAGGAUAUUAUGAUAAAUUCAAUGUGGAAGUGCCAUUCUCAGUACUUUUUUGAGUAGGAAAAUUCCCAGAGGGAAAAGAAUAUAUAUAUAAGAAUAUAUGUAUACAGUGAGAGUCAGAUUAGAAAUCUUGUUGUCAGAAGGCAGGACAGAGAUUUCAGAUUGAUCUAGUGAAGGCUAGAGAGUUUCUCUGAGUUAAAGCUAAGGGAGAAAAAAAAAAAAAACAAGAAGAGAAAAAGCACACUAAAUUUACAUGGAGCUGUAGGAUGUAAAUCCAACCUACUUCAAUAGUUUUUGUAGACAGUCAUUUGGAAGAGGGAUGCUAUAGCCAAGAAUGCUUUAGUUUUGUGGGGGGAAAAAAAAAAAAAAAAAAAAGAGCAGCGUUGUUGUUGUUUCAGUUUGCAGUUGUUCUUAUUGUUUGUUUCGUUACCUUAACUCAGCACCAUGAUUGCUUCUAAAGAAAGAAAAUACGUUGGAAAAUCAUAUAAAAGCCACGUUGAUCUGGUCUGUUGUGCUUUCUUUAAAGGGACAGCUCCAUACUUGUUUGCUUUUUCUCCUGCUUCAUAAAUAUAUGAUGAUUUAAAAUGUGCAAUAUGAGGACAUUAAUAAGAAUUAUGUGUAGGAUAGAAGGGGGCAACAGGAGGCAGACCUCGCUGUGUAGAAACUGCUGAGUCUUAGGAAUACUUAGGGCCAUAUUUCUUUUCUGCUGUCACAGGUAACUGCUUGGAACUGUUCUCUCCUGAGGGUGCACAUAAGGCUGGCUUCAUUCUUUACUUACAAUCUAUAGCUAGAUAAGCUGGUAAAGGAAGUGAACCAAUUUUCAGUUAAUGACACUAAAACAAGACUGAGCCAAAAACAUAAAAGUUGUGCUUAGUCUUGAAUUUUUAUAAAAUUGAUUCAGAUAGUCUGACCUAAGCAUUGCUAUUAACAUAGCUGAAUUCAAGGAGCAUAUAUUCAAAGCAAACUUUGAUAUUGAAACUAAAUUAAAAUUGAUUUUGUAAUGGGAAAGCCUUGCAUUCCCUCCUUAGUUAAAAAUCUCACUUCAUACUAAGUAGUCUGGGUUUGACAAGUCAAGGAAAUAAAAUCAGUUAUUUGGGAUGGCAGGCAAGAUCAUCAUGAAGGAGAACUGUGUGGACACAAGAUUAUUGAUAACAAUAAAAAAAUGUAUCACACACAACAUACCAUUCUUUCCUUUGCAGUUGUGCCAUUGCUAGGCAACUGAAAAUGGAUGAGUAGAUUUUAGCUGUAUAUCUAUACCCUUCAUUUGGAGAAUCAUGAAAGGGACUUCUGAAAAACAAACAUCAUGUUUCUGAUCAGGAUCCAAUAUGGCUUUACUGCUACUGAGGACUAGAAAAUGUAUUAUUUCCAAUACUAUAAAUUUUGUUGAUAAACAUCACAGUAUACUUGUAAGACUUUUAAAACAAUGCAGCUUUCUGUUUAGUAACAGAAUAUUUUCUUAAGCAGAUUUUUAUGCUCUCAUUUUUUAUUCACCAUAUUGUAGUAUACAAGUUGUGUAUCCUAUACUUCAUGAAAUCACCAUUGGUGAGUAGAGAGCAUAGUUACUCAGCACUUAAGUUAAAAGUACUCAUAAAAUUUACUUCAGUUGGGACUGUUUGUAUUUCUAACAGGUGGUAACUCUUUUUGCUUAAGUAGGUAACUUAAUGACUUCUCUGUCAUUUAAGAUCUACUGCCAUUCAACACUCAUUACCUUUAAUACAUGCUUUAGCAAACAUUUAACUUCUUAGUUUUAACACUGUUGCAACAGUAAGGGAAGAAUGACUGCUACCAUAACGUUGGCAGUGGUUGAUAAUUUACACUUCCUCUAUAGCCUACUACCCCUUAAUAAAUAAAUAAAUAAAAAUAAAAGAAAGAAAUAAAGAGAGAAAUAAAAAAAAAAAAAAGGAAAGAGAAAGGAAAAAAAAAUCCACUCCCUUGAUAAUUAGUACCCUUUGUCAAAGCUUCAGUUACAAUUUGACGAGAAAAUAUUCCUAAAUGUCAAGAACCAUGCAGUCUGAUAAAUAUGGAUGACAUUUAAAAAGCAGAGGAGGUAGUUCUACAGAAGCAGAAGAAGCAAAAAGAAAUGCAAUAUGUAUUUACGGAAAGAAACAGUUUUUCCACCAUGUAUUCUCCUCAUAUAUUGACUGUUUUGUACUCCUGGUUCUUCUUUUCAAGAGCACUGUGAAGCUUUUGUCUCAUAUCAAAUGCCUUAGCUGCAUUUCUUCAUUAUAAAACAGCACAUUUCAACAGCCCAGGUCUUUCCACUUGUAAUCACUCAGUAUAAUUGAUUGAGAAGAUAGAGUCAGAGAAUCCUCCAAAUAUUUUAAUUCUUCAGAGUUGUUUAAAUUUAGCAAAAAAUGACACCCUGAGAAAAUGAAAUGGCACGUACUCAGAAAUUGCUAACUGUGAUAUAGAUCAAUCACAGCCCUUGGUGAUUACUCUUUAAACAAGUCUGUCUCACAAGCAGAUUCAAAGGAAUUGACCUUCUGAAUGUUAACAAACAGAAGGCAAGAUUCUCCACUUCUGACAACUUUAAAAUCUCUCUUGUUGGAAAAUCUGAAAGACAAAGCGUUUUUAGCAGGUGGAAUUAGAGAACUACGUUCUCCAUAUUUACCACUCUAGGGGUACAGGUAUUUUCAUUACUAAAGCCUUUGUUGGAACAAGACUCAUUAAGAAAGCUAUAAAAGAAUGGAAUAUUAUCGUGUAAUGAACACCUAAUUGAAAACUAAUGUGCAAUGAGAAAGAAAUAAACUUUGUGACGAUAGGAUUAGAAAUGUGUCUGACUACAAUGGCAGUAUUUGUAAGAUAGGAUGACAUGAAUUCAUCAUCUUCACUUCCAGAUCUAACAACCUCUCUGAUCUGAGAGCAUCAAGAAUGUAAAUGCAGUUAAACAACAAUUCCCCAUCUUAAACAACCAGCACUGAGAUUGUGCAGGUACUCCACCACUGUACUACUAUAGUUGCUUGGGUUUACUUGGGCAAUGGUAGUAGAAAAAAACAUAUCCUAUCCACUGUGUUAACUGUGAAGUAGAUGAACCAUACUUCCGGCUGGGUGUCUGAACUCUGUGAGGUUCCCUACUCUCUGAGCUACUCAACUAAGGCUACUUUUCUCAAACUUCUCAAACUGAACAAAAACCAUCCUGUAACACUGCGAAAAUGUGGUGGGAAAUUUUUCCCUGAAUCAAUUUCAUGAAGUUCCUAACUAUGUUUGACGUGUUUGUGAGGAUAAGAUUUAAAAAAAUACAUUUAUUUCAUAGUUAAUUUGAAUAUCAAACAAUGUAAAAUAAAUCUUGCUCAAAUUACUGUGUUAAUGAGUCUUGACCUUUAUUUUAAACUGACACAGCUUUCAGAUGAAGGCAGUAGUGUAAAGAACAGUUAUCACAAAUAUCAAAAUACGCUUACAUUUUCAUAUAUGAUCCACCUACCAAGAGUUUACUUAAUAAUCUUAAAGCUGAUGCAUAGCUCAUUAAAAUUGCUGCCCUUCAACCAUCUCUAAGACCUCCAUUGGUCUGAUGCACUAUCUCAAGUAUAUCUCCAACACCAUAUAGUUGGAAUCUCCAGUAUUUUGCACAGGAAAAUUACUGUGGUAUCGAUUCCAGAGUAACAAGAGACCCUCACAAAAAAUAUGUGGGAGAUUUACUGAGUGAACCAUUUCUGUACUCACAGACAGUUCAAUACAAUUUUUAAGGCAAUUUUUUUUUUCAUGCUCUUGCAAGUAUGAAGUUGGCCUGAAAACUUUUCCAUUGAUGCAUAUUGAAGGAAAGUAAGAGCCAUAGACUGUAGCAUUGCAGUGCUUCUCUGGUUUACAAGAGUGUUACAGUCUGGCCUCUGACAGAAAGGUAAUGCUUUAUUGGCAAAUAUUACUUAAAGGAGGAAUUUGUGUAUGAACACUGUAGUGGAAUACCAGGGUCACAGCCUGAACCAAUGGAUGGGCUACAUGAGUGUGUGGGUAUCUGGAGCGGGGUCUGGAGCCACCCCUUCUGUCUCUGCAAUACUUCCUGUGCAGUUUGAGUCUGCGCGGGUCCCCCUUUUGCUCCUGCCCCUCUCUCCAGCGGUGCGAUGGUACAAACGGAGGAGGCUCACUUUCCUCAGCUCAUCCCUCUCUCCACACUGUUACCGGGAGGGGUGAGUCAAUUCCUUUUUGAUAUCUUUUCCUCUAGUGCCUAUUUCUUAAAUAAAGGCUCUGUCAUUGCCUUCACUUGUUCUACAGCCACUGAAAAAAAAUGCACAGAACCCUGCAAAAUAAAGUGUAUUCAUACGUAUGCAUAUUUCUCUAACUGAUAAAUAAGGGAGAACAUGUAGAAAGAGAAAAAAAAAAACGUGUAGUACUGAGUUUUUUUAAAGACACAGAUCUUCAAGCCCUCUCAAAAGUGCUGCAUCCAACCUUAUCACUGAUAAAACAUAACAGUUCUGCUGCUGAUUUUCUGGUGUUCAGAACUGUGACUUUUUUUUUACAAUAUCUGCUAUGUCAUCACUUGCACUAUGAGAGUGUCCCCAGAUUUGAACACAGGCCACUGGUUUCAACACCUCUCCUAAUUAUUAUUUAUUUCUAUGCAUGGUGAAACCAUGGAGAGCCUUGCCACUGCUUUCAGGGGGACGAAUCUUUGGCCUUUUGUGACCAACUACCUCUGCCCUGCAGUUAAGUAACGCAUCUACACAUUAAGAUCAAUGUUUUCAUGUUCAUACACUGUAUGGCUAAACUAGAAAGAAAAAUUUUAUAUUAUCUGUUUAAAGACUCAGUGACACAUAUACAUUUAUACAUAGCUGCAGAAACUGUCCAUAAGCCAUGUGAUAUUCUCUCUAUACUGUAUUUUAAAUCACAACCUUUUUUAUCUGCUCUGCCCUUGCAUAGCUUGCUGUGUUAGUUGUGGGCUGUUUUUUAUUUUGUUGUUGAUUUCUCAAAUGAGCUUUCCUUCUCGCACUGGACUAUUUGAUAUGCACAGCACAGCAGUACUUUUAACUAGAAUGGUAGUUAUACAGAGGGAAAUGUGUUGUCAUUUCUCCUCCUUCUGGGAGUGUUUUGCAAAAAUCUCUUUUCACAAAAAAAUUCAUUGUGUCUUCUUAUGGGUGACAGAAUUCAAGUAGCAAAAGACUAGUCAGAAGGUUAUUUAAAAUCUAAUCCCUUUGUUUAAAUACUCAUAUCCAUUAAAAAGAAAAAAAUAUAUAAUACAUUUUAAAAAAUUAAUAAAAUCUAAACUUUCAGAUGCAGUACGUGCUUUUCAUAAAACCAUGUAUUUGAGAUUGAAAGCCAUUUGAUUUUUUUUUUUUUUUUUUUUUUUUUUGGUGACAUUGUCAUCUUUUUCUAUGGCAAAUGUAAGAAUAUCUUUGUUUUCAGGAAUAGUACUUCAGCAUGAACUUUGAAUCCCAACCCCCCGACCAUCAGCUUCUUCUAAGAUUAGCUGAGUGCAUUGGGUCUAUUUAACCAUUAGCUUUUAUUGAAGGAUAGAUGAAUAUCAGUCCCUGAAGAAUAGUGAAUUAGCUACUGCCUUGUAGCCAAGCAUUUUCUCUUUUCAUUCUACAAUAGGUCUGCUAUAAGCACAGCUUUUCAUAAUGCAACUAGCAAGUAAAGUGGCAGGUCUGAAGAAAAAAAUGGAAAUCUUUUGGAAAAAGAGAGUCUAACUUGCAAGGGCUCUUGCUUUCAUUUUAGUAAUCUUAGAUAGAGGUGAUCUUUCCAGAAUAGACUUUUAAGAUAAUAGGAUUUGACUGAUGCUUAGCUGAUCCAAAAAUAUUCUAGUAUUAAACAACAUAUGCUGAAUAGUAUAUAGAAAAGUGAUAAAAUCUUCGUAAAGAAGGAAGUGAAAUAUAAAAUAUAGCCACAUGAAGCCCCAAGCAAAGAAGAAGAAAAACUAAAUAAAUAAUAUUUAUGGUAGAGGGAGUUACGAAUUUCUAUUGAUGUAUCUGUGUUUAUCCUUAUGCUUAUUUUCCUUUAUUCCCAGGGAAUUAAUCUCUUAUUCUUUCCCUCCAUAUGAGGCCAACAGAAAUUAUAUCAGUUUAAGAAGCAGAUGAAUCAAAAUUACUAUUUUUUCUUCCCUUAUUUGAAAAUAUCUAUGUUUAUUUUGCAAGCAUUAAAAACAUAUUACAUUCUAUUUUCAUUUAAAGCUCACACAGGUCCUGGAUUUCUUUCUUUUAAAUUUAAAAGGAUGUUCCUGACAAGCCAACAGAAAUACAUCUCCAUGUUUUCUUCAACACAGAUCUAGAAACAGGGAGGAAAGGACCUACAGAUGCUAAUACCGCAGGCCCUUAAAAUCAUGGUACUGAAAACCUUAGAGACAGCCAACACGUUGUACAGGUAGAAAAAUACAGUGAUUUGGACAUUACAAAUUCUUUCUCUCUCUCUUAAGAAUCAAGGAACCUUUGAAUCUAGGAACUUUGUAUUUUAGUGGUGAAGGGCACUGGAGAAAUGAAAAACACACCCAAAAACAAACAAACAAAGAAACAAUGAACAAAGAAACCCAAAAUGAAGACUUUAAAGGCAAGGCUGGAUGAAGCCCUGAGCAACCUGAUUUAACUGUGCAUGCCCCUGUUCACUGCAGGGGAGUUGGACUAGAAGACCUUUAAAGGACCCUUCCAACUCUAAGGAUUCUAUGACUCCAUAAUUCUGUGAUUGCAUUUGAAGCAAAGAAGUACAAAACAGCCUCGGGAAAAUACUGGAGGACAUUUUCUCAGGCUCCAUCAAUGAUGAGAGAAGUGAUAACAUCCCAUUAAUGGGAAAAAGAGAAAAAGGAAGGAAGAGGAAAAAGGAAGGAAGGAAAAAUGACUUAUGUCCUGGGUUUGUUUCUCCAGCAAUUUGUUACAAGUGGAAAACUAUAGAUUUUCAUAACAAAAUCUGUCAGUGUAACAACAUUUAAAAAUUCAUCAUGCAGAUCCAAAAGACAGAGAGAGUGAUGGUUCAGGUGAUGUGCCCUGGGAUCUUGAAAGGUAAGCCAUGUACCACCAGAACUCCCUGUGGUCCUCUAUGAACUUCCAAUUUUCAUCUCAUUUUCUUUACAUAUUCAUGACACUCCUGCCUUCACCUCUGCUGAUUGCUCCAUUCUUUCCUAAACAUUCAUUAGAGAAAGGCUUUGGAGAGUUAAGCUAAAUAUGAAGCAAGAAAGCACAAUGAUUGUGGGAAAGAGGGAGAUGAGGAGGUAUGUCCUGAGAUGCUCUAGGAAGCAACUAGGUCCUACUCAGAAGCUGCGCCAUCUCACUCAGGGCACCUAGUAUCUCACAGAGCGUGGUAGCCCUCAUCCCACACCUGAACAGCAUCUCUGAAGAAAACAUUGUGGGGAGUCAUAAAAAUACAGAGGAUUCAGAAUGGACUGAGGCAUGUGUCUAACAGAUAGUACAGAGGCAUCCAUUGCAUUGCCUCCUAAGUCUAACUCUUCCAUGCACUGAAAGCAGAAAAUCUUUCUAAGGUCUAAGGACAGGACUGACAUAUCAAACACUAUAGCAAUAGAUCAGCCUAAGCCUUUCUCCAAUUAAUGUUUAGGAUAGAACUGCUUUGUAAGUGAAAGAAAUAUGAAGUUAUCUACAGUACAAGAUUGAAAGAUAACAGUUGAAUAAUAGGGAUAAGCAGUAUUACUACUUGGGAAUUAAUAGUACUACGUGGGAAUGAGGAAACUUUGAUUAAAAAAUAAAUUAGUACUUUCCAAAAUUGAUUUAUGUUGCCUUGUGAUUGAUUAAAAUGGACAACAAAUGAAAUACAAAUUCUCUGGACACUGAUGCUGUGAUUUUGGUUGCUUCUGAGUGCCCUGAUCUUGGCCAGAAAGCUGUAGUUGAGCCUCACACCCCUAAGAGCUUCAAGGUCUAUUCACUUCACCUUCAUGGAUAAUUAAAAGUUACUAAGCCAUGAAAUGUGAACACAUUCAAGAUAGAAAGUUUCAUUUCAAACUAUGGCACUAAAAGCUAAGAAUAUGCAGCAGAUGUGCUCAAUAAUACAUAUUUUCUUUUUCAUGUUAGAGCAACAUCACCACCUUGCAUGUAUGCAUGUUUCAGCUUGAAAAAAAAAUUUCAAAGACACUAAAGACUAGAGAUAGAAAUGCAGUAGAUUGAUGUAGAGACUGCUACCUUAAGAAAAGUAAGACAAUAUGCUAACCUAUUCCUUUGCAUAUUUGGUAGUAGCUCCAUAACACAGCAGCUAAAUAGUGACAGUAACACUCCUAGUGACAUCUGGCUCCUUGAAAGGUUUCCCUGGCAGCUCUGGAGUUUUCUCUAAUUUUAUCACAUGGUUAAUUUGUUGAUGAAAAGUCUGCAGCCCCAUACUACUUGAUAAAACAGUAUAAAACACUGGGGGCAUGUAGAAUUUUUGGAGUUGUAUCAUAUCCCUUUGUCCAGUAUGGCCAACAUUUCUCAGUUUCACUGCAUGCUGGAAAACAUUGUUUAAGCGCAGCAUGUUGUUCCCCUACCUGGAGGCAUUUGAGGCCAGGUUGGAGGGGACUUAGAGCAACACGGUCUAGAGAAAGGUGUCCCUGCCUAUAGCAGGGGGUUGGAACUAGGUGAUCUUGAAGGUCCUUUCCAACUCAAACCAUUCUAUGAUUCUACAUCCCAGAUUUGUGAUUAAAUAUAGGCAAUUCUUUUAUAAGUACACCUUGGCUGUAUGCACCACUUUCCUCAUCCGUGAAUUGCUCCAAAGCCAGGACUUUUGUCUGAGAGCUCUGCUGUAGAAAGUACUGCCUGUGCAUCAUAAUGGAAAAGCUUAGAGGGACUAGAUUGCAGAGCAUCUAGAACAAUCAAGUGGCUGCAAAGGAACUAACUACUAUAUUGGUAACUUCACAAGGUGCUGAGUUAAUCAAAAAGGUAUGUACUAUGGUUACUACCAUAAGUAAAUUUACUCUUUUCUGUAUUGUAUUCUUCAGCAAACACAGUUUGUGACUUUCCCAUCUAUUUAGAUAAAAAAAACAAAAACAACAUUAUUUCCUCAUGCAGGAGCCACGGGCCACUUUUAUCACAUUUUGCCUGAAAUUUCUCCAUUCUUUGCCAGCUUUGAUGAACUUCAUUCAUCCUAUGGGCGGUGAGAAAGCGAUCUCCUUGCAGCACUUUCUGGCUGUUUGUAUGCCUGAGAUUCCCUCCCAGCACUUACAAACUGCUUCAGCUUCUUUCGUGUUUUCUAGGUCAGUUGCUUUGAAUGCUCGAUCCUAGCCUUAGGACUGUAAAGAUUAAGCACUGCAAGCUUAGAAGCAGCCAGGUAGGGAUACCAGCCAAUUCUGGCUCUCACUAAGGAGCUUAAUAUCUCUAUCUUUUUUUUCUUUUCAUUUUUUAUUUUCUCCUUACUGCUUGCUGUAAAAAUCCUCAUUUGAUUAUCCCUCUGCCAUCAGGCAAGAUACAAUCGUACUGAUAAACACAGUGUUUGGCAUAAAAUACUGAAGCCCCUGAAGCCAGUGAUUUGGAAUAGGAAUACUAACACUACCUAUGCUGUGGGCAGGUUUUAGUACAUAUGUUUGUAAAUCAUAUUUCUUUUGAAUGCAGAUUAUCUCUCCUAGAAACUUACAUAGAUUCCAUUCUGUUGCUAUGCAGACUGCAAAGCCUGUAUACUUUCAAAACAUGGAAGGAAUUUUGUAAUUUUCUACCCAGUACACAGCUUAUACCUGUAGCCCAACAUACAGCAGGAGAACAAUCUGAAAAUAAACUCAAUUAUUUUAAAAGUAAGAGCUAGAGCAAGUCAUUCAAAUUAAACCACCUUUUCUGCUGAGGUAAGACUAUUGACCUGCUUACAGAUUACUUCCAAGAAACAACAGCUUGAAUCAGGAAGUAGACACUCCUCACAACAGUAGUAUUUACUCUUAAAAUCUGCCUCAUUGAAGGGAUGGCCUAGAGCAAGAGUAUCCAACAUUUUGGCCACACUGAGUAAAGAGAAAUGUCUUGAGCUGCAUAUAAGCUAUGUAAUACAGUUAAUGUAUAGCAGUAACAAAACUUAUUUUUUUAAUGUAUUUUUUACUACAACAUCAGAAAAAGAGGGCAGUAAAAAGAUUAAACUGUUGGGAGACCUAACCUUGUUUUUGUGAAACAUGAAUCAAAAACACAUCACAGAACUAGUUAAAAACAUGUUGCAAAUUACUUUAUACUUUUUAUGAGCCUUUUGAGAUGUUGAAAAUUACAAAAUUUGUCUAUUGUGAACUGUUAGCUUAUUAAAUUAUUUUAUGAAAUAGCAGAAGCCCAAGUUUAAUCAUUAAAUAAGAAAGCUUUCAUGUGUACUUAGUAACAAAAAACUCGUGUCUUCACAGGUACAUGCAUGUGUAGGUAGGUUUAAGUACUAUUAUUUGUAAUCACUGCAUUUUACUCUGCCAGUGGCUCAAGUGCAGGUAACGUGUAACACUCAAGGGUUUCGAUUUGACUGAGUGCAUAUGAUGGCUUGAGAGGCAGACUUAGGAGCGUACUACCCCUCCCCUACACAGUGUUCUGAUGUAGCCUACCCAGUCCACACUCAAGCUGUACACAAUCAACUCAUAAAGAAUAUUGCUAUAAUCACAAAAUAAUGUUAAAAAUUUGCAAUCUCUCCAGGGCCACAUGUGGCUCAUGGGCCAUAGGUUGGACACGCCAGGCCUAGAGCAUUGUAUUCACACAGCUAGGGAUGCAGAUUCAUGAGGCUUAGAAGCUGAUAUUUGUACCAACCAAUGUGGUGGCACCUAUUGAAAUACAGACGGGGAAAACACGGGUAGGCAAGUUAGUUUUCAUUCUGCCCUGUGAGAUAAAGGCUGUAGGAAAUGUUGCUCAUCAAUUAGUGUUUGCAUCGAAAAGCAGCAUCUGAUACAGAGCUGUCUUUGGGACUGUGCUCCAUAAAUUAACUUAUGCAAGAUAAAUCCAUGCAUAUUUGCUAGCUUUGAUAAAACUCACAUAUUGAUGAACAUCUUUUAGAAGUGAUAGUUCAAAAUUGAGACUUUACAAUAGUUUAAUUAUAUCUGCUUCCUACUCAUCCCCCAGAUCUAUGCAAAACAGUGCCAUUAAUUACUCUGCCCAAUGAGAUUACUAACAAGGUCACUGAUUGAUAACAGAGACUCAGUGUAAGCUGUGAAGUCUGAAACAUCAUUUCAAAUAAGAUCAGAAAGGCUUUGUCACUCAGUACUUUCAGGUCACUCUCAGUCACUUUUCUUUGCCAGUGUAUUUAUUCUUCUUCACACCACAAAAGUUUUGGUAAUGUAAGAGAUUAAGAAAUGUUUCAGUAAUAUAAGGCACUCAAAUCACCCAAACCAGAAAGCAGUUUCAUGAGCUCCCUUUCUAAAACAUAGAUACUUCUUCAUUCGGCACAGUUCCAACUGAUAUGUUCUAAUCUUUAGUAUAAAAAUCAGAUUUUUCUAUUUGGAAACUUAUAUUUAUUGUAUCUAUUUGGAAAUAUAUAUAUAUAUAUGUGUAUAUAUAUAAAAAAUUCAAUAACAUUCUUGUUGGAAACUAAAAUUGAAAUGUGCAUUUAAAUUUUUAAUUCUAGCAUACAGGAAUAUAUUCUCCUCACAGAAGACACUACAGUUAUUUCACAGGUUGUGAAAACCAAUGAAGCACUCUAGCUACAGACUUCGUCGGACCAAUGGAAUAGGAGAAACACUCAAAUGGAACAUGUCACUCUGACUUUUUAUAAGGAAAUAGAUGAAAGUUAAGAUUAGGACUAUCCUUAAAAUCCUAGCUUGAUUGGCACUCUUUAUUUUCUUGAUCCAAGGAGAAUACCCUUGUUAAAGUGGCAGAGAUAUACUGUGCCAAGUUCCACGUUCCACAUAUUUCCGUCUUCGCAACAUUCCAUGUCCAGCAUGAAGGGCUCUUGCAGGACUGGGAAUACCAGUACAUACCACCCAUGUUCAUGGCCUGACAAUUGUGUUCAGGCUGAACUGCUGCACAAACCCCCUUUUGAUUCUUGUGCUGAUCUCUUGGUGGGAGAUUAGUGAUAUUUUUUGAGCUGAAGGAGAUGCCUGUAGGGUUAGACAGUAUUGAAACGUAGGUAGUACAAAAUACCUUCUGGACUUAAUCUGAACCCUACAUACAGAGUAGAUAGCACUCAAGAUGUGGCCUUCAAUUUUUUGGAACUGAGUUUUAUAUUCAACUAGUGACAUUAAUAUAUAGCUAUGAGGGCAGUAAUUUUAAUUAAAAUAUAACUCUUAUCAACAAUCACUUUCAGGUACACAUCAACAGCAUCCAUCAAUAAUUUGUAAUUAGUCUUCCUGUCAGCUAAUUGCCACAUAGCUCUCAAUCUAAAAAAUAAGCAGAUUCAUGAGAACAUGAAUGUUGCAGGAUGUCAGCUAACAAGCAUCUAUGGAAACGGGAAAAAGAUUCACUGAAGCAGCUCUGUAAAUGGUUAUGAACGCAACAAUUUGGGGAAGCAAUUUUGUUGAAAUAAGUGGGACAAUUGAGUAUUAUCAGUAUAGAAACCUCAUUGGAUGUCCAUCAUCCUCUGGCCAAGGCUUGAUGGCACUAUCUGACAGCAAAGUGGCUUAGAAUGCAGCAUUUCUGGAAUACCUCUUGACAAGCUUUAGGGGUCUCUCUACCUACCAUUCCAAAAGAUAUGCCUAUGUUCCAAACCAUCGAUUUUACUUUGGUUCUGUUUAAUUCUUUUCUCCAUUGAUUGCAGUCUUAGUGACUCAUGCUAAAGAAGUGGAGUGCUUUGCAAUCAAAAUACAGAACCUUAAAAAGGUCAGAAUUAGUUUCGCACAUUACAAUAAUUUCCAAGAUUGCAUUAAAACUCCAAAUUCUGAUGCCCUACUCAGUGAAAAAAAAAAUGAUACUAAAUGUAAAAUGCACAACAGGAUUUCACUCUCUUGAUAAGAGGCCAUAAAAGAUCGGCAAAUGAUCCCAUAAUUAUAGAGUGAAAUAUAACACAGACUUUUAUGUAACAGAGCAUUACACUGGGAAAGCCAGUCAUUUAAAACUAAAGAAAUAACGUUAGAGUUAUGUUCCUGCAUGGCCCUGGGGAAACAUGCUCUAAUUGACCCUGCUCUGAGCAGUGGGGGUGGACUAGAUGAUCUCCCUUCUGACCUCAGCUGUUCAGAGAGUUUGUGAUUCCUUCAGAGAUACCUCUUACACACCGAUAGUAUAUAUUCAGGCAUAAUUACAAUGUCUCAUGAUAUUAUUUUCCACAAGAACCCUGACCUGUUCAGAGACUGAUCUAAAGCUUAGUGAAAGCCACAGGAGUUCUUGCAAUGGACUUCAGUGUGGUUUAGAUGAAAUCCAAUUUCAUAUGGUGGAUGAAAUCUCCUAAAUGAGAGAGGAGGACUGGCUCUUUCCUUGAGUUGAUAAUCAUCAUCACAGCAGCACAGGGCACGACAGCAAGGAGAACAGUUGCUACUGACACAAAUUAUAUUUAAUAUCAAUGGACAGAGCAUUAUGCAAAAUCUAAUUACUACUUAACCAAUAUACUAAAAAGGUGGUUUUAUUCACUGUUCACUAAGUGAAGGCCUGCAUAAAUAUUACAUAUAAAAUACAGGUAUGAUGUGAUCUGUUCAUUUUAGUCCACGUUUGUUCUAAAUUAUUUCAGUACCCCUUUGAAACAAUUUCUUUACCUUCAACUGAGCUAUCCCAAAUUUAUGAGGAUCUGAAUGCAACAAGACUGGGCCCACAGUCAGACAGAAAACGACCAGGCUUGUACUUGUCAUGGCAACUGAGAACGUAAUAAACAUGAAAUUUUCUCCUGGGAAGGUGUUUAAAGGUUUGCAGUGCUUUGAGCUACCAUAAUGUCAUUCAAAACUGAAAAACUUUAUGGUGACUGACUGUAAUGACUCUGGGAAAAUAGUGAAUAUUAGGUAUUUCUUCUUUGAAAGCUACAUAGUUUUUUUUUCUCCUUUUUGAUUAUUUUGCUUACAUGAAAGUUCUUCUCCGCAUCUCAUACAACAUCUGCUGAGACUUUUGAGAGCUAGCUCUUCGAACGGUGAGUGGUGUUUUGUGAAAUUAUGCUUCUCUAUCAGUUUGUCUUUCUGUAAAACACUCCAGGAAACUAGAUGCAAUUACUCAGUCUUGAAAAAAUACUCUGCACUGCAGAAAGCAUAGUAUACCUUCUGGAUUUGAGUUUGGUUAAUUAGCUUUCUUCUUUUGGCUAUAAAGACAUUUUCUAGAAAGCCUGAGAGAAGUUACUGAACACCUGAUAGAAGAAAGCACCUUAGAUUGCCUCAUGUUCAUCUCCUUCUGUUUCCUGUUAUUUACUACAUUUAUUAAUUCAGUUUAUCUCAGCUCAAGUAUGAGUUCUUGGCAGAAAGACUACUAAUUUGUCCUGUAACUUUACAGUCAAAAGCAACAGACUUUCAAACCCUCAUUGUGGCAGCUAUGCAGAAUGGAUUUGUAGCAGCAGUAGUAGCUACUGGUGAGCGCCUCUUGUGUGAAAAGUAUUUCCCAAGUUCAUCAACCAAAUAAACUGGUCAUUACAAAGCUUUCAUAAAUGUACUAAGUACCACAUAGAUGCAACAAAAGUACAGACACAGGUACAAUUUUUAAGUUUUCAUAAUGUAAGAAAGCUCUGCAUCUUCUGGUAGAGACUCCAUCUAUUUUUUCUUGAGAAAGAAUACGAGCUUUUAUCUCCACAAUAUCAGGAAUCUAGAAGUUAUCAAAGUUUUAAAGAUAAUGGUCUGUUAUCUGUAGGGAGUAAAUUUUACUUUUGUUUUGUUGAACAGCACAUACAUACCAAUACAUUAUAUAACUGAAAAUUUCUGACCAGAAGUAUAAAACUCGGUAGUUUAUCUUUUGGGGAAAGAGGAAAUUAUAUAAAAAUGGAACUCCCUCAGUAACAAACUAAAAUUGUACCACAUUUUAUUUUGAUGACAUAUUGUGUUAUUUCAGUUACCUUUUCACCUUAUCUUCCUAGUGGAACAAUUGUCUUUGGAAGACUAAGCCAUUUAAUGAAAAACAAGGAACAAAGGAACUCAGCCAGGAGAUAGUUCAGAGUCAGGGAAAAAAAUAAACAAAGAAUGGCAUUUUUAGUAAACAACACACAGUGAAAUGUAGUAAUACACAUAAUAUAUAUGGUUUAUAUAAUGCACAUACUGUAUAACUUUAUCAUGUUAAUAUUUUUAUAUUAUUUGUAUAAGUUAUAGAUAUCUGUGAAAGAUAGAAGGUAUGAAGUAGAUUCAAUCUUGAAAGAAUUUUGCUAAGAAGCAGAGUUCUUCAAUGAAAAAAAGGAGGUGGAGGGCAGGAAGUUGGAGCCAGUGAGGCAUGAUAGAGUCCUACUUUCCUGCAACAGUGUGUUAUGAUGUCCUAUGCUGUUUAGUCAUUGGUUUAGUUAAGCAGCUGACUGAAUAUGAUUUAUGUAAUCAGUAGCAAAAAAAGACAUUAUUCUGCCACAUCAUCUCCUUUACAUAACCAGCCAAAUUUGGUGCAAGGAUGACUUGUGAAUUAUUGGCUUACCCCCCAGGAAUGGUACGGAUUUCUGAUGAUCCUGGCUGCUUGAAAUUCUUUUACUUCCAUGUUAUGCUAUAAAGUUCAGGUCAGAAUAAGUGCUUUGUCUAAAACAGGCUCAUAUAUGUCAUUCCUGAAUAGAAAAUAACUCAGAAAGCAUAACUAGGAGUCAAGGAUCACAACCUGCUAUUACACUGGGAUACUGCAUCCCCUACCUUUUCCCUCCCUCACUUUUGUUUGAUGAAAGUAUACUACUCCUAGCAAGAUUGAUAUCUUCUUCCUGUGAAGGAUUUCCAUGCAUUUGGUCUGCUCCUUCUGGUUUUCUCGUGAUAGUAUCGAGCCUCAUGAGAAAAUGGCAGCAUUCAAUUGUUACUGUGUAUACUUGGUGUACUAAUUUCUAGGCCUACCAUGAGAGUGGCUGAACUAGUAACGGUAUGUAUGAUGCUAAUGAGCCUGAAAUUGUUUUUCUUGAAGCUCCAGCAACUCUGUACCUUAUUUUUAGAAAUGUGUGGGAAGUCCUUAUCUUUAGUAUCAUCAGACUGUAGGUCUUUCAGCUAAUAUAUCAUAUGUAACUGUUUCAUAGAAUUUAUGGUAAUAGAGGAAAAUGGAAUAUAGAAAACAACAGACUGUCAAAACAAUUGGUCAAUAUUCAUGCUUGCUUUGUUCUUCCUGUACUAAAGGGAGUUUUGUAAGACUGGGAGACCAGCUAAAUGAUUGUGGGUAUAUUGUUCAUUUCUCCACAUCGUGCCUUUCUUACUUGUUUCAUUACACAAAGAAGAUAAAAAUUAAUUGAAUGUUUCCAACAUGCAAAAUUCAAGAACUUAAAAACCUUACAGAGAAAGAAAAAAAAAGGAAAAAUGUGCUUCAAAUGGGAUGUUUACCUGUGUUUACAUCUUCAAUUGCUGAGCCAUUGCCACUACUGUCUGCAGCAGGAAUCAUCUACUAACUGUAUAUUAUAACUGAGUAUAUCUGAACCCCUCCAAGACCAGUUUUGACUCAUUCAGUACAUGUCACAAGUAAGCAUAAAGGCUCUUUUGGUUAUCACUGUUUUGAUUUCCAAAGAUUCCCUAAUUUUCAAAUUAGUUAACAGAGUAAUUGAAUGUUAAUGUACUUCAGCAUGUAUAUGAAAUAUAGUUCUGAUUAAUCAUUCAGAAGAAACAUAAGGAAGAAGACUUAGCUUGUCUGUUCCGCUUGCAGGCACAAUCUAAUCCUAAUAUAUCAACAAGACAGAACUCACAAGCUUAGUCAUGGUUGUUCCCAAAGUUUAAGGGGUACACGAGAUGAACAGCAGUUUUCCAAGGAACAAACUGUCGUAGGUCUGUGACAUUUAGGUAGCAACAUGAAUGUUCAGAAUCAGCAUGGUACAGAAUUCAGUACAAGUUAUAUACCAGUAAAGAUACCCAGGUCUUGAAUCUAAAAUUUGAGGACUCUAAUGAUUAUAAACAACAUCUUGCUGCUGUCUUUCAUAUAACAGGUUCUAAACUGUAGAAAGAUUUAAGUUGGAAGAGACCAAAUUCAACUCUGCUACUGCUCUCAGAGCAGAGAGAACCUAUGUCAGCUUGGUCAGGUCCUUACUCGGUUGAGUUCUGAAUAUUUCCAAAGGUGGAGAUCAUAAAAGUUUUCUGGACAAAUUGUUCUGGUGUUUGAUCAAGCCUCACUGUCAUUUUUCUUUUCCUAGCACCUAAACAUAGACACAUUUCUAUUAUUUCUUGUCUCUUUGUGUUUCAGCAACAAAGACACAAUAUCAGAUGAAAGUUACACUUUUUUUUCCCCCUCCAUGUCACUUCUUUCAAACAUUAGAAAACUAUGACUCAUUAUAGGGGAAAUAUUUAAUACAAGACGUGAAAUUACCAAAGCUACCAAGGAAAGGAAAAGUUCCCAGGACAAUUGGAAAUAGGGAUGCCACUAAAUCCAAUUCUGUGAAUUCAGGAAAGAAAUACACUUUCCCUAGGAGCAAAUGGGUUUCAGCAAUUUUUUUUGCUCACGAUCCUAACAGAAAUACAAAAAAUAUUCAAAAUACUGAAGCUUUCGUAACAAAUCCACAUGUACCACAAGUGACAGUUCAAAACUGGACUGUGUCAGGUACAUGGUUUCAGUUUUCACCACAGUCUGCUGAUUACUCAGCUUUAUCUGCCACAAACCAGCUAUCAGUAAGGAGACCACUGAAGAUGGUUUAACAACAAUUUUGGUUGCCCAAGCAAAUGAAGGGUCAUUUAAAAAAAAAAAAGUAAAAAAAAAAUCAAUUACAACUACUUCUGUAGUUCCAAUAGAGAAAACUGACAGCAAAUACACUUUAUUUUUUCUAUGUCUUUGUGGCUUUGAACUGGGUGACUCACCUGACAUAUGAGUUUACAAGAACACAGGGGCAAACAGACAAUCCAAGCUUAGAAAUAUUGCAAAAAUUAUUUGUUCAUGACUGAGUACAAUUCAUUAUAGCUUUUCUAGGUUAGGAAUUUAUUCAUGUUCAUUGAAAUCCUGUAAUAAUGCAAAUGUUUUAGUGUCAUAAAUACAUUUGUUCACAUCUUAGCUGAAGAGAAAUAAAUGAGUUACCCUAAUCCAAACUUGGUGUUUGUAGUUGUAAAAUUAAAAAUUGCAGUGCCUGACCUUCAGUCACAUACAAUUGGAAAACAUCAAGAUUUAAACUGGCUUUUCUUAUGACUUUGUGCAACCUUAACUCUCUUUUAGGUUUCUCCAUUGAAAUCCUCAAAUGUCUGAGGACUGUAAAAAUAAAAAUCUAUGUAAACAGAGUCAAUUUGUUAUUAAUUUCUUUCAAGAAGUGGAUGCAUUUGUCAAAGUGUCUUGCAGGUUAAGGACUAUAUUUACCACCACAUCAAAACUCUCCACCGUAGGAUCUAAAGGUGACAGAAUGACCAUCUACACAUCAUCCACAUAACAAUAAAAGGAGAGAUAAAAGAAUAAAAGGAGAGCUCCUGACAAACAAGGAAAACUAUGCACUAUGUAGUUAUUUUUGAGAGGGAUACGAGAUUAAUCUCUACCGAUGAACGUUUAGAAACUCUGCCCUGCAAAGCCAGAAGCUGAGCUGGAAAUAAAUAAACAGGGCUGUUUUUUUGUUUGUUUUUAAUUUAUUUCUAGUGAGUUGCCAUAUGCCCUGAGGAUCAUGGUGGAUGUAAAUGGAUUUAAUUGACUAUUCACUGUAAAAGAAGCCAGAUAUGCUAAGCUGGGUAAUAGAAUGUAAUAUCUGUAAAGUGAUUGAGGAUGACAACCUGAAUUGUCUCAAAAGUAUGCUUGGAAAUUCCUGCCCCAAACAAUACUCUCCUAGUACUUGUUAACAAGUUGUCCGAUUUGGCUGCAAACUGAUUAAACAAUCCCAUAAUAUUUUCUAGGUUAUUACCUUUGGAUCUACUGACUAGUCUGUAUCUCCACCAAAGAUAUUUACCCUGGUUUGUAGGGCUCUCCCAGGUUUAAAAAAAAAAAGAAAGAAAACUAAGGGGAAAACCAGUGUCAAAGGACUACUCAGAUGUGCAGUCACUGAUGCAAGAUAUAACUGAGUUCUUGUCUAGGCUUCAUUCUGUAUGGAUCAUUUUGACAAACCACUUUACAAAAGUGGAAUACAGACUAGCAAUUUUCCAAAGUGAUGUUAUAGUUAUUUUCUUGUCUUCUUUCCCUUCAUCUGUUGGAGCAAGUCAUCUGAAACUAGGCUUCAAAGCAAAACUCUUUCAUUAUUGAAAGGUUUCCUUGACUUCCCAAUGUAUUUCCCAGGAAAGGAGCAAAAGAUACUGAUACCUCUGUUUAGUCCAUAGUAGAAAUACCCAAAACAGCAAACAAAAAAAGAUUUCAACAUUGAAAAUCCCUCAGCUCCAAGACCAGUCUUAGGAAACGAUUGGGAAUUAGGCAGUUUUUUUUUUAUUAUUAUUAUUUUUUUAACUUGAGAAUUUAGAUUACAUUUAGAUGUUCACAUUCAAAAUUCUCAGAAAAGAACUGCAAAUCAGGGAAUUGCCAAGACCAGUAGGCAGACAGAACUUUGAAGAAAAAAUUUGGCUGCAUCAUUACAAUGUGCAGUUUCUCACCUUCCUGUGAUGAAUGUCUCAUCCUCCAUUUUGGCCUACUAGUAAGCUAACAUACCACAGCAACAUGCCCCAAAACCUUACUUGAGACAAAAAUUCAAUGGAUUCUGUAGCUGAGAGACUUGCACUUAAGAACAACCUAAUAAUAGCCAAGUGCAGAUAACUGCAGUCCUGUAAUGAUUUGAGAUAUGUUUUAACUUGAUGAAUUCUCUUUAAUGCUGCACUGUUGUUGUAUGUGUCAGACUCCAAACAUCAAACUGAUCGAAGGUUUUAUCUAACUGGGUAUCUUCAUCUGUGCAGAAGCAGAAAGAGACUGAAGGCGAACAGGAGACGUCUGCAAGUCCCUAACGAUCACUCAUUCAUGUGGAAGCACCACACAAAGUAACUGGCAGCUCUGCAGAAAAAACAGCCAGGCCAAAGACCUUCAUAUCCAUUACAUGAUCCAGCACUCAUCUCAAAAGCUCUAAACAUCCUGAAGCCUUCAUUCUGAAAAGAAGUUUUAAUCGUCUUGUUUACUAAGAGCUGAUUCCUCUGUAAAAGCAAUAGAUGAUAGGUAUGAACCCUAAUGCUACCAAUUUUAAGAUUGCCAGACAAAGUCAGUGUUAAUGAUUUGUAUGUCUCAUACUGUAAGAGACUAUUCUUUUAUAUGAUUGACUCAAAGUUUGCUGAGGAGCAAGUCCAGGCAAGUCCUGGGCUAAGGUAGAGAAAUCUUCUGUCUGGAGGACACUGAUGGACAGGUCCUGGCUAAGGAUUGUGAAAUCCUUUAAGAAGCACAGAUGGACAAGGCCAGGGGCAACGAGAGAGAGAUAAGCUGCUGAUAAUGGCCAGGAAACGGUCUUUUUGUGUGGACUUAGCUCGAGGAAGAUGUCCAUCUCAGGAGGUAUGCACAUGACUCUUGUUCAAGCACCCAGGGAUGUCACGUAGGCAGGAGAAAAUGGAGGAUAAAAGAGGGUCCAACAACCAUGGCGGACUAGAGGCUGAUCUCUCACCACGACAGACCAGUGAAGGGUUUCUGCCAUCAGAUCCCUCACCACGACAGACUCGAGGUUUCUGUCUUCAGAUCCUUCUCUACAGACCGUAUGCUGAUGGGCUUCCCUGGGCCUGCUACCUGACACCUGCUGCUUCCUCCCAGACUUACUCUGCAGUUUCUUCCUGGACCCACCCGGUACCUGCACCCUCUCGUUGCCCAAGACCGGCCUCGCUGCUCCUGCCCUUCGGCCUCAGACUGUUGGAACGUCGUGCAACGGGACUGCUGCUGGAUCCUGGUGGUGACUAUCCCCGCUUUACGCAAUUCUUGCUUCUUUCUAUCUUUUCUAUCACUCGCCUUCCCUUCCCCAUCACCCCAAUCCGUAAUAGUGUCCGUCCUCCCCUUUCUUCAUCUCCCUUAUUAACAUUUGUAAUAAACUGGUCGGACC
Molecule: long non-coding RNA, 27838 nt
Organism: Gallus gallus (chicken)
Lineage: Eukaryota; Metazoa; Chordata; Aves; Galliformes; Phasianidae
Exons: 4
Source: RefSeq, a predicted model, not a curated record